Molecule: long non-coding RNA, 969 nt
Filed under: Oryzias javanicus (javanese ricefish)
Lineage: Eukaryota; Metazoa; Chordata; Actinopteri; Beloniformes; Adrianichthyidae
Description: lncRNA (ENSOJAG00000007443.1)
Source: RNAcentral
AGUCAGAACUGCAGCCUGCACUGCUGAUUAUCACUCUUGAUUCAUGCCACCUGUUCCCUUCCUAUAAGUAUUACUUUCAGUGUACUCAGUCUUUACCAGAAUACUGUCAGUCCUAUAUGCAGCGUCAUCAUUCAAUUCCCCUCUGUUAAUCUCCAUGGCCAUUUUCUCCAUGCAAGAGGACCACCCUUGAGUCUAAAUCUUCCUUCCUGUGUUACUCAUCUUUGUUAUUUUCUGAUCAGCACCCUGGGUCCCAGAGAAGACCCCCACCCUUGCCCCUGCCCCUGUCUCCUCCUCUGCCUCCCAAGCACCGUGGCUUUUUCAACACCUCCGCCCCCUCCAGUGCUUAUCCCUUGACUUGCGUGGUUUCCAGCUCAGAGAGCCAGAAGCAUUCAGAACUUCCCUCUGAGCAGUUUACUCUGAUAUCUCUCGCCUGUCAGUCACCUUGGAUCAGUGUGUCCUAAGUGCAUGUUCAGUGUAGGAAGGAAGAGAGCAUCCAGCACCAGGACUUGAACACACACAACAGCUGAGGACAAUCGGAAACCUGGAGUAACGAACUCCAUCACAUCGAUCCAAGACAUGGGAGGAAAAGAGAAGAACAUUUUGGUGAUUGCAAAUGUGCCCAGCUACCAAGGGCCAGACAAGAAACAUCUGUGUAACAAAGCCAGCGUUGUUAAGAAGAAUGGAAAAGCCCCCACUGCAGCUGGUAUUCCCCCACCGAUACCCAUGUCGCCCAUUGUUGAAAAGAUGGAGGGUUUGAAGACCAUCCGUAACCGCGGCAACAGCCUCCGUCUUGGUCGCCUGGCCCUCUACAAGCACCUUGAAAAAGUGGAGACUAUGCGAUCUUUCUGGGAGCUCAAACAUGUGGAGCUGGAAGGAGAAAACCAGGUAAUCUGCAGAGUCUGUGUUCUCAACAAACUCCAUCCACCUCUAGCAAAAUCACAUGACAUGACCUCAUACAAUGUUUUAUGU